Molecule: ribosomal RNA, 435 nt
Filed under: Triticum aestivum (bread wheat)
Lineage: Eukaryota; Viridiplantae; Streptophyta; Magnoliopsida; Poales; Poaceae
Description: partial small subunit ribosomal RNA
Source: RNAcentral
AUGAUCCAACUGCCCCCCCACCAAGACCUAAAAAUCUUGUCUUCCCUGGAGCCGGCGCCGGCUUCGCUCCAUGGCCUCCCACGAAUCUCAACCCUGGCAGCUGGAGCCUGGUACCCUGCUUCAAAUACACUGGCUGAGAAGGCAGCAUGGAAGUUUGAAGAGGAGAAUGGGCUGCAUGUGGUUGUGGUCAAUCCAGGGACUAUUUUGGGCUCGAUGAUUCCGCCAAGGAUCAAUGCUAGCAUGGCCAUAUUUCUUCACUUACUUGAAGCUACUGCUUCUGUGCUAGAUUGGAUGGAUAAGCAAGAAAGCAAACCGAAUGGGGAAAGAUUGGGAGCAUAUCCAUUUGUUUGGAAACUAAAAAAGGAGAAGAUAAGAGUAUGUGGUGUACAAAGCUCACCCGUUUAUCAACAACUAUGUGUCGGCUUUGUUUUUUAA